RNAcentral lists this ribosomal RNA (185 nucleotides) under Pulchrana signata (yellow-spotted frog). Its description in RNAcentral is "partial 16S ribosomal RNA". Lineage: Eukaryota; Metazoa; Chordata; Amphibia; Anura; Ranidae. The record is from RNAcentral.
GCCCAAAAUCUAGCUCCCCCACACCCAAUACCACCCUCAACCAAUUUCCUUACAAACAAAACAUUUUCAUAAUAUAGUACAGGAGAUCGAAAAAUUUCUAGACGCUUCAGAUAAAGUACCGUAAGGGAAUGAUGAAAUAAAAAUGAAACAACUUUAAAGCCUAAAAUAGUAGAGAUAUUCCCUCG